GACGAACGCUGGCGGCGUGCUUAACACAUGCAAGUCGAACGAUGAAGCCUAGCUUGCUAGGUGGAUUAGUGGCGAACGGGUGAGUAAUACGUGAGUAACCUACCUUUAACUCUGGGAUAAGCCCGGGAAACUGGGUCUAAUACCGGAUACGACCAAUCUCCGCAUGGGGUGUUGGUGGAAAGCGUUAUGUAGUGGUUAUAGAUGGGCUCACGGCCUAUCAGCUUGUUGGUGAGGUAACGGCUCACCAAGGCGACGACGGGUAGCCGGCCUGAGAGGGUGACCGGCCACACUGGGACUGAGACACGGCCCAGACUCCUACGGGAGGCAGCAGUGGGGAAUAUUGCACAAUGGGCGCAAGCCUGAUGCAGCGACGCCGCGUGAGGGAUGACGGCCUUCGGGUUGUAAACCUCUGUUAGCAGGGAAGAAGAGAGAUUGACGGUACCUGCAGAGAAAGCGCCGGCUAACUACGUGCCAGCAGCCGCGGUAAUACGUAGGGCGCGAGCGUUGUCCGGAAUUAUUGGGCGUAAAGAGCUUGUAGGCGGUUUGUCGCGUCUGCUGUGAAAGGCCGGGGCGUUAACCCCGUGUAUUGCAGUGGGUACGGGCAGACUAGAGUGCAGUAGGGGAGACUGGAAUUCCUGGUGUAGCGGUGGAAUGCGCAGAUAUCAGGAGGAACACCGAUGGCGAAGGCAGGUCUCUGGGCUGUAACUGACGCUGAGAAGCGAAAGCAUGGGGAGCGUACAGGAUUAGAUACCCUGGUAGUCCACGCCGUAAACGUUGGGCACUAGGUGUGGGGGACAUUCCACGUUUUCCGCGCCGUAGCUAACGCAUUAAGUGCCCCGCCUGGGGAGUACGGCCGCAAGGCUAAAACUCAAAGAAAUUGACGGGGGCCCGCACAAGCGGCGGAGCAUGCGGAUUAAUUCGAUGCAACGCGAAGAACCUUACCAAGGCUUGACAUAUACUGGACCGCAUCAGAGAUGGUGUUUCCCUCCGGGGCUGGUAUACAGGUGGUGCAUGGUUGUCGUCAGCUCGUGUCGUGAGAUGUUGGGUUAAGUCCCGCAACGAGCGCAACCCUCGUUCUAUGUUGCCAGCACGUUAUGGUGGGGACUCAUAGGAGACUGCCGGGGUCAACUCGGAGGAAGGUGGGGAUGACGUCAAAUCAUCAUGCCCCUUAUGUCUUGGGCUUCACGCAUGCUACAAUGGCCGGUACAGAGGGUUGCGAUACUGUGAGGUGGAGCUAAUCCCUAAAAGCCGGUCUCAGUUCGGAUUGGGGUCUGCAACUCGACCCCAUGAAGUCGGAGUCGCUAGUAAUCGCAGAUCAGCAACGCUGCGGUGAAUACGUUCCCGGGCCU
RNAcentral lists this ribosomal RNA (1349 nucleotides) under uncultured bacterium. Its description in RNAcentral is "bacterial SSU rRNA". It matches the Rfam family "Bacterial small subunit ribosomal RNA", at positions 28 to 1381 of the family's 1533-position model. The record is from RNAcentral.